AGGAAAUCCAGGACACAAUGAGAAGACCAAA
This 31-nucleotide non-coding RNA is filed under the name Mus musculus (house mouse). The record is from RNAcentral. Lineage: Eukaryota; Metazoa; Chordata; Mammalia; Rodentia; Muridae.